CUGCGUCUGGGGCGCCGCGCGGCGCGCGCCUGGCGUGGCACGGCGCGACGGCUGAGCCCGUCUCGCUAGCGCCGCCUGCCGGCCACGGCCCGCCCUCACCUCCGCACCCCGCCGCCGCCCCGGCCGCUCCCUCGCUUGGCGCGGAGACGGAUCUGCACCCUACAACCGCGACACCGUCACCGCCGCGCGCUGAAAGCUCACCGGCCCCUGUCCCCUUCCCACCCGGCGCACCUCCGCCUUGCUUCUGACCGCGGAAGCCUCAGAGCGCUGGACCGGACCUGCCCUGCGUUUCGCAUGAAGUCGUUGGUCUUGCCGGGUCGCACCCCGCGUCGGGGUCACCAUGUCCCUUGCCCGGCUCAGGUGAACUAGGAACAGGGUCACAAAAAACUCCUGCUGCUCCAAGCCCAGGAAGCCAACAGCCCACCCGUCUCAGAAGCCCUUCCAAGUGUCCCUGGGUCUUCAGAAUCAAGAGCCAAGAUCAGAAAAGACCAGCCCCAUUGCUAGGCUUGAGCAUGGGAAAGACGACAGUCAUGUGAGUCUUCUAUCGUGCCUGUCAUCUAGAGACCUAUGUCUGACCCCUGGCUCUGCUAAGGGAUGCCAACCACGUCUCACCAGGCUGUUGGAUAUCCCCAUGCUGUGGGGCUGAGGCCCACCUGGGAUCAGAGGAUGUGAGUGUGCAGCAAGCAUGCAGAGCUGAUGAUGGCCCUGGUGGAAGAGGUUACAGAAGAGCUCGUACCAGAAGAACAUGAAGCCAGUGGAGAGCGAAGCCUUGAUCAGGCUGGGGGUCAGGCCCUUGAAGAAGCCCCGGGUGCCUUCCUCCUCGAACACCUUCCGCAUGAGGUCCAGGAGGCCCCUGUAGCUCCGCACCUGGGAAGGAAGGUGGAGGCUGAGGAGGAAGCAGUGUCUAAAACCAGGACUGCCCAGC
This is a long non-coding RNA of Mastomys coucha (southern multimammate mouse), 925 nucleotides long. RefSeq lists it as uncharacterized. Lineage: Eukaryota; Metazoa; Chordata; Mammalia; Rodentia; Muridae. The record is from RefSeq and is a predicted model, not a curated record. The transcript has 4 exons.